AGCAGCGUGGCUCAGUGGAAAAGAGCACUGGCUUUGGAGUCAGAGGUCAUGGGUUUGAAUCCCAGUUCUGCCA
Molecule: transfer RNA, 73 nt
Filed under: Ornithorhynchus anatinus (platypus)
Lineage: Eukaryota; Metazoa; Chordata; Mammalia; Monotremata; Ornithorhynchidae
Rfam family: tRNA
About the family: Transfer RNA (tRNA) molecules are approximately 80 nucleotides in length. Their secondary structure includes four short double-helical elements and three loops (D, anti-codon, and T loops).
Source: Rfam by way of RNAcentral